RNAcentral lists this ribosomal RNA (60 nucleotides) under uncultured fungus. RNAcentral describes it as "partial 5.8S ribosomal RNA". It matches the Rfam family "5.8S ribosomal RNA", at positions 98 to 154 of the family's 154-position model. Rfam says of the family: 5.8S ribosomal RNA (5.8S rRNA) is a component of the large subunit of the eukaryotic ribosome. It is transcribed by RNA polymerase I as part of the 45S precursor that also contains 18S and 28S rRNA. Functionally, it is thought that 5.8S rRNA may be involved in ribosome translocation. The record is from RNAcentral. Lineage: Eukaryota; Fungi.
CUUUGAACGCACCUUGCGCUCCUUGGUAUUCCGAGGAGCAUGCCUGUUUGAGUUGUCAUU